GUCUACGGCCAUGCCGCCCUGAACAAGCUCAACCCCAUCUGACCUCAGAAGCUAAGCAGGGCCGGGCCUGGUUAGUACUUGGAUAGGAGAUCACUUAGGAAGACCAGGUGCUGUAGGCA
Molecule: ribosomal RNA, 119 nt
Filed under: Pteropus alecto (black flying fox)
Lineage: Eukaryota; Metazoa; Chordata; Mammalia; Chiroptera; Pteropodidae
Source: RNAcentral